GACGAACGCUGGCGGCGUGCUUAACACAUGCAAGUCGAACGGAAAGGCCCUGCUUUUGUGGGGUGCUCGAGUGGCGAACGGGUGUGUAACACGUGAGUAACCUGCCCUUGACUUAGGGAUACCUUCAGGAAACUGGGGCUACUACCGGAUAGGAGCUCCAGCUGCAUGGUGGGGGUUGGAAAGUUUCGGCGGUUGGGGAUGGACUCGCGGCUUAUCAGCUUGUUGGUGGGGUAGUGGCUUACCAAGGCUUUGACGGGUAGCCGGCCUGAGAGGGUGACCGGCCACAUUGGGACUGAGAUACGGCCCAGACCCCGACGGGAGGCAGCAGUGGGGAAGAUUGCACAAUGGGCGGAAGCCUGAUGCAGCAACGCCGCGUGCGGGAUGACGGCCUUCGGGUUGUAAACCGCUUUCGCCUGUGACGAAGCGUGAGUGACGGUAAUGGGUAAAGAAGCACCGGCUAACUACGUG
This 468-nucleotide ribosomal RNA is filed under the name uncultured bacterium. RNAcentral's name for it is "partial 16S ribosomal RNA". It matches the Rfam family "Bacterial small subunit ribosomal RNA", at positions 28 to 507 of the family's 1533-position model. The record is from RNAcentral.